AAAAAAACAGAAACAAAAAAAAAAUGGAUUUCAUCAGAAUGAAAAUAUGUCUUUCUGUCUUAUUUUUUUUCCAUGUUUGGUUUUGUAGAGCUUUUAAUGAUGUCUCAACAAUUCCUUUUAACAAAGGAUUCAGCCAUCUCUUUGGUGAUGGAAAUAUUCUUCAUGCUAACGAUGAUAACAGCCUUCAACUUCAUCUCAACCAAAACACAGGUUCAGGGUUCAAGUCUUCUGACCUUUACAACCAUGGUUUCUUCAGUGCUAAAAUUAAAUUGCCAUCAGAUUAUACUGCAGGAAUAGUUGUUGCCUUCUAUACGACGAAUCAAGAUGUAUUUAAGAAGACACACGAUGAACUAGAUUUUGAAUUUUUGGGAAAUAUAAAAGGAAAAGCAUGGAGAUUUCAAACAAAUAUGUAUGGAAAUGGAAGCACACAUAGAGGAAGAGAAGAAAGAUAUACUCUAUGGUUUGAUCCUUCUAAAGAGUUCCAUCGUUAUAGUAUUUU
This 499-nucleotide unclassified non-coding RNA is filed under the name Hevea brasiliensis (rubber tree). The record is from RNAcentral. Lineage: Eukaryota; Viridiplantae; Streptophyta; Magnoliopsida; Malpighiales; Euphorbiaceae.